CUGGGCUCGGGCCUGGCUCUGAAGGUCCAGGAGCAGCACAGACAGAAGCACUUUGAGAAGCGCAGACAUCCGGCUGCAGGCCUCAUCCAGUCUGCCUGGAGAUAUUAUUCCACCAAUCCAAUCAGGGAAGACCUUAUUGCCACUUGGAGGUUUUACGAAACGGUCAUCUCUCUUCCCUGUUUCAGGAAGGACACCUUGGAGGUCAUGGCGAGGUAGGUUACCGUUUGGUGUCC
Molecule: non-coding RNA, 233 nt
Organism: Neolamprologus brichardi
Lineage: Eukaryota; Metazoa; Chordata; Actinopteri; Cichliformes; Cichlidae
Source: RefSeq, a predicted model, not a curated record